GACGAACGCUGGCGGCGUGCCUAAUACAUGCAAGUAGAACGCUGAAGUCUGGUGCUUGUACCGGAUGGAUGAGUUGCGAACGGGUGAGUAACGCGUAGGUAACCUACCUCAUAGCGGGGGAUAACUAUUGGAAACGAUAGCUAAUACCGCAUAACAGUCUUUAACCCAUGUUAGAGAUUUGAAAGGGGCAAGAGCUUCACUAUGAGAUGGACCUGCGUUGUAUUAGCUAGUUGGUGAGGUAAAGGC
Molecule: ribosomal RNA, 246 nt
Filed under: uncultured bacterium
Lineage: Bacteria
Description: partial 16S ribosomal RNA
Rfam family: Bacterial small subunit ribosomal RNA
Source: RNAcentral